AAAGAAGGAAGACAGACCACACUGAGAAAGCAGGUGUGAGAGGCGGGACUAGCCUAGUGGCCCCGGGUGGAACCCCUGCAAGGCCGCACCUUGGUCCUGCUGACUUGGCCCCUCCGGGCUGGUCUCCUGCCCCUUCUUUCAUCUAAUCCCCCUGCUGCUGCAGGGAAGAUGGACAGCUGAGCCUGGCAAAGGGCAAGCACCUCAGCCACAGGAGAGCAUAGGAAACUCAGAAGUCAGGACAUAGUUGAUGUGUUACCGGUGGGCUUCGGGGACCAGAGGGGAAGCAGAGGGGCGUUCUAAGCCACAACUGAAAUUCCCAGUUCUGGGUUAAACCCCAUGAACCUAAGGGUCUGUGUCACAUGGCUCCCGGUCGUGAUCCCCUGCCCCCUCACUUAGCUCUAUUUCAGGCUCAGGAGGAGGUCUUAGCUUUCUCUGUUGAGUUUUCAAGCAGUAUGCAUUAAAAUAAGGAAAACCAGCUUCUUGCGUUCUUUGAAAUCGUGCCCCCAUCCUUGGUGUGGUCCUCUGAACACAUCAAGGCCAAGACUAACACUGAUAGACUAUGUAGGUGGGGCGCAAGGCCAAGCUCCCUGUUUUCCUUCCUUCCCAUUACCUGCAGCAUAUUUUACACCAGGAUAAACCUUAACUUUAAAAAUCAUAAGGCUUUCAGGAGUUCGUGUCGUGGCACAGUGGUUAAUGAAUCCGACUAGGAACCAUGAGGUUGCAGGUCCGAUCCCUGGCCUUGCUCAGUGGGUUAAAGAUCCGGCGUUGCCGUGAGCUGUGGUGUAGGUUGCAGACGCGGCUCGGAUCCCGUGUUACUGUGGCUCUGGCGUAGGCUGGUGGCUACAGCUCCGAUUCGACCCCUAGCCUGGGAACCUCCAUAUGCUGCAAGAGCGGCCCAGUAAAUGGCAAAAAGAUGACAAAAAAAAAAAAAAAAUCAUAAGGCUUUCACAUCUUACUGGAAAGAAGAUGAUCAGUUAAUGGAAUAGUAAACCCUUCCCAACCCACCUUCGGCCUAUGGAACGAGUGGAGACCUGGCAUUUGCAGGGUUAACAGCUGAGCCUUAGAACUGGUGGGCUGGAGUCAGUCAGCAUCUCAAUGUGGCUUUGUCUUUUAAGAAAGACUGCUUGGUUUUAUGGGGAAGAUUAUAUGCUCGGGAGAAUCGCAAAGGUCGCCAAAUAUUUCUUGGAAAGAGCAGUUAUGCAUACAUUGUCAUAGGUGACUUAGACUUAAUGCAUUUAGUCAAAAUAACCCAAGUGCCCACGACGUGCCAGGCAUAGUUGUAGAUGCUACAACGGUGCUGCCAUUAAGACAGAUCAGGUAAUGGCCCUUAUGAAGGAGACAGAAUAACAAGGAAAGAAAAUAAUUUUAGUUUAUAUUGUGCAGAAAGAAAAACAAGGCUAGAGAAUAUUAGGAGAGGAACGAGCAGGAUCUCUGAGGAGGUGAUACUUGGGCUACGCCCUGGGGAGUGAGGCACCAGCAAAACUAUGCAGCAGCUUCACUUCUCUUGGCUACAACCCUCUCAUCUUAGAGGGAGGGUAGGGGGUGUUAGGUUUCCACAGGUACAAAUAAGGAGGUUAGUUAAGCAUUUCCAACAGCGGUUGCAGGACCACAAGCUGCUCAGCAGAGGCCAGUCUCCAGUGCCCUGUGGAAGAUACUGGUGAGGUUUUCAGAUCUCUGUUCCUGGUGAACAAUUCUCAGCUGGAAGAUGAAAUUCAAAGUCUGUGGGAAACAGUAUGGCGGUUUCUCAAAAAAUUAGACAUUGAAAUACCAUAUGCUCCAGCCUCUGGAUAUGUAUUCCAGGAAUUGAAAGCAGGGACUCAAACAGAUAUUUGUACAACAAUGUUCACAGCGGCAUUAUUCACAAUAACCAAAAGGUGGAAAUAACCCAAAUGCCCAACCACAAAUGAGUGGAUACAGAAAGUGUAGUACAUAAAUCCGAAGGAGUAUUACUCAGCCUUCAAAAAGGAAUAAAGUUCUGACACAUGUUGCAACAGGGAUGGACCUAGAGAAUAUUACACUGAGUGAAAAUAAACCCAAAAAGAACAAAUCCAGUGUGAUUUCGUUUCUAUGACGUACAUAAAAUAGGUGAAUUCGUAGAGACAAAAAGUAGAAUGCAGGGGAGUGGAAUGAAUGUUUGCUAAGUACAGAAUUUCUGUUUGGGAUGAUAAAGUUCUGGAAAUAGUGAUGGUUGCACAACCACUAAAUGUACUUACUGCCACUGAGUCGUACCAUCAAAAAUAGUUGAAAUUGUACAUUUUGUGUUACGGAUAUUUUACCACAAAAGAAAGAAAGCACAUGAGAGGUUGAGAGGAGGCUGAUCAGGCAGUGACAACCUUGAUCUUAAUGUUUAAAAUAAACCAGAGGGGUGUGGAGGCAGAUGGGGCCAGGGCUCUGCAGGUGGCUGUCAGGUAGCUCCUAUGCCACGCCCCUGACACCUCCAGGACAGACCUUGCAGCCCCUAUGGCAGCAGAAAAGGGGUGGAGCCUCAAGUCAGACAGGGGUCAGGGAGGGACGUAAACUUCCUGCCAUGUCCCCUACCCAUCACGUGCCUCCCCCAUAGACCCGGAAAAGACCCACUUGCUGCUUCCAACACCGCCAGACACUUCUGGUGGCUGGUGUGGCUCCUGGGUAGAGGAGGUCAGCCCUGAGCCCAGGGGGUCUCAAGGUGUGGUCCCCUGGGAAUGUUCUAAAUGCUAAUUCUCAGGCCCUACCCUGGACCUACUGAUCCAAAACCCUAGAUGUGGGGCCCAACAGUGUGUUUCAACAAGUCAUCCUCUGGGAGACUCUGAUGUUGGGGAACCACUGUUCCCAACCCCUGCAGGAAGAGCUGGAUGCUUUUCUGGGCAAUAACCCCAUGCAUUUAGUGAGCGCCUCCUGAGUGCAAAGCCCCAGACUGUGUGCAACUGGGGGACACAAGGCGAGCCAUCGCAGGAAGCACCCUUCCUAUGGGAUGCUCGGACCCCAAGGACAUCAGAGGGCAUGAGCAGCUGGGAGCCCAGGUAGGGUAGGUGAGCCUGCAUCACACCCUCUCCUGGUGUGGGCACACCUGGCAUGGCCGGCCAGGGCCCCUUUGCCACAAGCUGCCAUGGUGCUGCUGUGUCAGCACCAUGCUCUCAGCUCAGCUGCCUGUGUACAUAAAGCAGAUGUGUCUUUCCUUGGCGUUCUCUUAUGGCAUGGCAGGUUAGGGAUCCAUCGUUGUCACUGCAGCAGCUCGGGUCACUGCUGUGGCACAGGUUUGAUCCCUGGCCCAGG
RNAcentral lists this long non-coding RNA (3252 nucleotides) under Sus scrofa (pig). RNAcentral describes it as "lncRNA (ENSSSCG00000058100.1)". The record is from RNAcentral. Lineage: Eukaryota; Metazoa; Chordata; Mammalia; Artiodactyla; Suidae.